CAUCCCCUGCGGUGUUCGUAAGCAACCCGGGUAUUUUCUUGAGCCUAAUAUCUACCCUGGGAACAUAACGAAAGUGUCGGUGUGCAUGUCCGUUUCCAUGCGGAAAGCCUGAAGCACCUCUGUUGUUCCCACUUGAACCCAUUGGUUCAAGAACAAAGGUACGCGAUGGCACAUGUGGGGGAUGU
RNAcentral lists this non-coding RNA (185 nucleotides) under Candidatus Thiodiazotropha sp. (ex Lucinoma borealis). RNAcentral's name for it is "6S RNA". It matches the Rfam family "6S / SsrS RNA". From Rfam's summary of the family: E. coli 6S RNA was the first non coding RNA to be sequenced, but its function was unknown until recently. It consists of 184 nucleotides that fold into an extended hairpin structure with a large single-stranded internal bulge. The record is from RNAcentral. Lineage: Bacteria; Pseudomonadati; Pseudomonadota; Gammaproteobacteria; Chromatiales; Sedimenticolaceae.